UAAGUUUAUCUCUAUUUUCAUGAUUAUGGCACCCUAAACGGAGUUUGGGUGACAUAUUGUUAUUCUACGUUUCUUUUUGUUUUUAUUUUUAUUAUUUUAUGGCACCCUAAACGGAGUUUGGGUGACAUAUUGUUAUUCUACGUUUCUUUUUGUUUUUAUUUUUAUUAUUAUUUUUCUUCCACACAUUUUUGUCCAGUCUGGAACUCUAAUGUGAAUGGACCCAAGAAGAUGGAACUAUACCAUAAUGUUAACCACCAGAUGAAGAUUUGCUUUUUGGGGGUGGCACUUUCAAGAUGGCUGCCGUUACCAUGGAAACGGAACAAAUGUGAAAAAAUCCCGUUUUUUGUUUUGGGGAACUAUUU
This 362-nucleotide long non-coding RNA is filed under the name Mytilus galloprovincialis (Mediterranean mussel). Lineage: Eukaryota; Metazoa; Mollusca; Bivalvia; Mytilida; Mytilidae. The record is from RNAcentral.